GGCUCAUCCAGAGGGCAGAGGGAACGGCCCGACGAAGCCCCGGCAACCGGCGAUGCGCGCUCUUGCGCUCGAUCACGGUGCCAAUUCCGACCCGCACGGUGCGGGAAAGAUGAGGA
This 116-nucleotide non-coding RNA is filed under the name Pseudonocardia sp. Its description in RNAcentral is "SAM-I sequence". It matches the Rfam family "SAM riboswitch aptamer (S box leader)". From Rfam's summary of the family: The SAM riboswitch is found upstream of a number of genes which code for proteins involved in methionine or cysteine biosynthesis in Gram-positive bacteria. The SAM riboswitch acts at the level of transcription termination control. Lineage: Bacteria; Bacillati; Actinomycetota; Actinomycetes; Pseudonocardiales; Pseudonocardiaceae. The record is from RNAcentral. RNAcentral also lists the same sequence under 1 other name.